Molecule: ribosomal RNA, 373 nt
Filed under: uncultured bacterium
Lineage: Bacteria
Description: bacterial SSU rRNA
Rfam family: Bacterial small subunit ribosomal RNA
Source: RNAcentral
AGAGGGGGCAAGCGUUGUUCGGAAUUACUGGGCGUAAAGGGCGCGUAGGCGGCCUGCUAAGUCGAACGUGAAAUCCCUGGGCUCAACCCAGGAACUGCGUCCGAUACUGGUUGGCUUGAAUCCGGGAGAGGGACGUGGAAUUCCAGGUGUAGCGGUGAAAUGCGUAGAUAUCUGGAGGAACACCGGUGGCGAAGGCGACGUCCUGGACCGGCAUUGACGCUGAGGCGCGAAAGCCAGGGGAGCAAACGGGAUUAGAUACCCCGGUAGUCCUGGCCCUAAACGAUGAAUGCUUGGUGUGGUGGGUAUCGAUCCCUACCGUGCCGAAGCUAACGCAUUAAGCAUUCCGCCUGGGGAGUACGGUCGCAAGGCUGAA